GACGAACGCUGGCGGCGUGCUUAACACAUGCAAGUCGAACGGAAAGGCCCUGCUUUUGUGGGGUGCUCGAGUGGCGAACGGGUGAGUAACACGUGAGUAACCUGCCCUUGACUUUGGGAUAACUUCAGGAAACUGGGGCUAAUACCGGAUAGGAGCUCCUGCUGCAUGGUGGGGGUUGGAAAGUUUCGGCGGUUGGGGAUGGACUCGCGGCUUAUCAGCUUGUUGGUGGGGUAGUGGCUUACCAAGGCUUUGACGGUUAGACGGCCUGAGAGGGUGACCGGCCACAUUGGGAAUGAGAUACGGCCCAGACUCCUACGGGAGGCAGCAGUGGGGAAUAUUGCACAAUGGGCGGAAGCCUGAUGCAGCAACGCCGCGUGCGGGAUGACGGCCUUCGGGUUGUAAACCGCUUUAGCCUGUGACGAAGCGUGAGUGUCGGUAAUGGGUAAAGAAGCACCGGCUAACUACGUG
This 468-nucleotide ribosomal RNA is filed under the name uncultured bacterium. Its description in RNAcentral is "partial 16S ribosomal RNA". It matches the Rfam family "Bacterial small subunit ribosomal RNA", at positions 28 to 507 of the family's 1533-position model. The record is from RNAcentral.